This is a long non-coding RNA of Rhineura floridana, 712 nucleotides long. RefSeq lists it as uncharacterized. The record is from RefSeq and is a predicted model, not a curated record. Lineage: Eukaryota; Metazoa; Chordata; Lepidosauria; Squamata; Rhineuridae. The transcript is spliced from 3 exons.
AGGGAGGAAUUAAAAGAGAGACGGAGGAAAAAAUUUUUGACCCCGACGUGAUUCGAACACGCAGCCUUCUGAUCUGGAGUCAGACGCGCUACCGUUGCGCCACGAGGUCCUGACAAUUUUGGCCUGCUUCUUUUCUCGCUCCGCCGGCAUCUAUUGUCCAAUAUUCCCUCAGAAAAGCCAUCAUCUCCAGUAUCCACAGCUGAGGAAUACCUCUGCUGAGACCAACCAAAAAGUCAAAUGUGUGUAAUUAAGGGAGGAAUCAUACACAUUAGAGCAGUAUGUGGGUUUUAAAGAAACUGAGGAGUCAAGAUGGAGCAAAGAGACAAGAGGAGAGACAAACUCACACAGGGGACAAACCUUAUAAAUGCUUGGAGUGUGGAAAGAGCUUCAGGAGAUCUACAGCAGCAGUAGCAGGAGCAGGAAGAAAGCACACCCGGGAAGCCAGUGAGCUGCCUCCUUCCCCCCCUGGACAAGCGAGCCAGCAACGGGCGACUCUGAAGGGGAGGCAAGAGGACUGCGGGCCGCCGCCACUAUCAUCGCCACCACUGUCGCCGCCACCAUCCAGAGGCCCCAUGGCUUUUCCAUGGAGGAGCAGCCCGGCCCGCAGCAGCAGCAUUCGCCACCGCACCGCUACUAUUACAACCAACACCACCAGCAGUAUUUGGCCGAGGGCAGUGGGCCCGGUAAGGCCCAGCUGCAGCAGAAGGUGCCC